Felis catus (domestic cat) is the source of this 2282-nucleotide long non-coding RNA. RefSeq lists it as uncharacterized. Lineage: Eukaryota; Metazoa; Chordata; Mammalia; Carnivora; Felidae. The transcript is spliced from 2 exons. The record is from RefSeq and is a predicted model, not a curated record.
AAGUCCGACGCUUAACCGACGGAGCCACCCAGGCGCCCCUCAUUUUUUUUUGAAAUCAUAGUUCCUUUCAACUAGAUAAAAGAAACAUAAAUUUUUAAUUUAUGUUGAGGGGAAUCUCUUAGAAUGUACAACAGCCCCCAAGGAAUGUGGAACAUUUUGCAAAACCCUGCCCUUGGCUCUUGCUGGCCCAGCAGAACCCCGGAGGGUUUGUUUAUAACAUGUCUGGACGUUCCUAUCUGAGUAAAAGCCCCGGCCUUUGCUCUGUGUAAGCGAUUCCUGAAGAUAGUUGCUCUGCCACAGGGAGAAAUGUUUCUGAAAAGCCUGCCCAAGGAUUUUCGUCCCGAAGAAUGUAAAAUGUCUGCGGGCCACACGGGUACUGGUGGCCAGCACGGGCCGCCCUGUGUCCCUGCGCCCAGGCAGCCCAGCCGAGCUCCGGGGUUCAAGCUUGUGGACCAGCACCGCAUCCUGGAACAGAGCUCACAAGGCAGACGGCGCAGCCUGAAUCCCUCUGACACAGGACACCUCAGGACAUGCCAGGCUCUCGGAGAGGAAGCUGAGCUAAUGACUUCGUGUUGGCCCAGUGAGGUCGCACCAGAGAGAAGAAAACCCGUGGGAGAGAAGGAAACAGGAAGAGAGCUCACACCUGGCUAGAAAUAACUGGCCUCCUUCCAUGUCCUGUCUAAAAAAAAAGAAAGAAACAAAAAAGUACCACGAGAGAAACCGAACGAUCUGCGUUCCUAUUGUAGGUUUUGUCUAUUUCGAUUCAUUUCAAGCUUUUAGAUUAUGGCUCUUCCAGGACUGCCCUCCGUGCCUUCUCCUCCCUGUCAGCAGGCAUGCAUCAAAGUCAUUGCAAAAUGCAACCCCUUCCCCUGGAGGCCGGGGGAUGAUAGGAAGGAGGACAGCAUUACAAAGCGGCCUCGCCAGCGUGUGCCCUGGGUGCUAGACCGACAUCAAAUGUGUUGUUAAGCACCAGUUGGACGUCCUGGAAUCACAUUAAUUGGAGAAAUACAUAUGGAUGAGAGGUGUAGGCGACCCAGCCUGAUACAUUUUCUCUUCUCCCCUCUGAUCCAAGCUGCUACCAUUCUUUGCUAUAGAAACGUCCCAGUUCAACCUUUGGGGGUUCUGCUUUGGCGUUUUUAAGGUCAACGAAAUUACUGUGGCGGCCAGUGGCCGCAUGCGGCCAUUUACAUUCAAAUGAUGUAAGAUGAAAUCAGACUUAAAACUCAGAUCCACGGUCACACUAACCACACUUCAAGCGCUGGUGGCUACCUGUGGCGUGGGACAGUACUGGACAGUACAGAGAUAGGGCGUUCCUGCCUCACAGAAAGUUCUGUUGCACAGUGCUGGGGUAGACCGUGAGGGGGCCGGCAGGCCAUCAGUUGGCUGUGCACACAUGCUCACGGAAGACUGGUGAAGGCUGUUCCAGAAGAGCCCAGAGGUUCAGGGUGAGAGAGAGAGAGAGAGAGAGGCCAGCGUGAUUGCAACAUUGGAUUUGGCGGGGAGCCAGGCCUUGAGAGCCUGGUUAAGAAACUGGGAUGUUGUCCUGAAGGCAAAUCAGGUUUUAUACAGGGGACAGAGCAGUAGCAAAUGGGGAUGUGCAGGUUAGCAAACUCACCCCGCCCGCCCGUGGGGGAACCGAAAUCUGAAACCGGAAGGGGAGUGCCUUGCGUGGCUGUUGGAGGAGCUCAGUCACAGAUGACCAAUUGGAUUUUCAGCGGCAGUGGGAAAGCAGAUGGUCAGGGGGGCCUGAGGGUCAGGGAGAGUGUGAAAGGGCUUUGGCGGAUACAGAGACCGGCAGGGGCUGGAGAGAGAAGACUCGGGAGGAACAGUGACCAGCGCCCCCCACCGAUGGGAAGCUGGGUCACGAGCAGGACGACGAAAUACUGGUCUGUUAAAGAAACGCCCGUUAAUGGUGGCACCGCCUAUGGAAAUCACUAUGAGACAGUGAGGUGUGUGUGAAAGGAGGACACGUCGAUGCCAUCAGAAGAACCCCCUUCUGGGAUCAGAAGAGGCCUGGAAUCGACACACGACAAUCCGGGUGCACCUGCCUGAGAUGACCAUGGGGGCCCGUGAAAUGAGGCAGCCCGAGGGAGCUGUGGCAGGGCGGAGGUGGCUGAGUCUCCAUGGACUCCACUUGUCCCCUCAGAGGCACAAACUGCCACCAAGACUGCUUCUGUCUGCCCAGAGAGAGUGACUGCAGGUGGCUCUGGGGCACAAUCUCCAACAUCUGGAAAGUGAAAUUGAAUGCUAUUACUCUCUGAUAUAAAGCAAACUAACUCUAA